UACGGAGGGGGCUAGCGUUGUUCGGAAUUACUGGGCGUAAAGCGCACGUAGGCGGCUUUGUAAGUUAGAGGUGAAAGCCCAGGGCUCAACCCUGGAAUUGCCUUUAAGACUGCAUCGCUUGAACAUCGGAGAGGUAAGUGGAAUUCCGAGUGUAGAGGUGAGAUUCGUAGAUAUUCGGAAGAACACCAGUGGCGAAGGCGACUUACUGGACGAUUGUUGACGCUGAGGUGCGAAAGCGUGGGGAGCAAACAGG
Molecule: ribosomal RNA, 253 nt
Filed under: uncultured bacterium
Lineage: Bacteria
Description: partial 16S ribosomal RNA
Rfam family: Bacterial small subunit ribosomal RNA
Source: RNAcentral